UACGAAGGGUGCUAGCGUUGUUCGGAAUUACUGGGCGUAAAGCGCACGUAGGCGGACAGUUAAGUCAGGGGUGAAAUCCCAGAGCUCAACUCUGGAACUGCCUUUGAUACUGGGUGUCUUGAGUAUGGAAGAGGUGAGUGGAAUGCCGAGUGUAGAGGUGAAAUUCGUAGAUAUUCGGAGGAACACCAGUGGCGAAGGCGGCUCACUGGUCCAUUACUGACGCUGAGGUGCGAAAGCGUGGGGAGCAAACAGG
RNAcentral lists this ribosomal RNA (253 nucleotides) under uncultured bacterium. RNAcentral's name for it is "partial 16S ribosomal RNA". It matches the Rfam family "Bacterial small subunit ribosomal RNA", at positions 524 to 776 of the family's 1533-position model. The record is from RNAcentral.